RNAcentral lists this ribosomal RNA (819 nucleotides) under Triticum aestivum (bread wheat). RNAcentral describes it as "partial small subunit ribosomal RNA". Lineage: Eukaryota; Viridiplantae; Streptophyta; Magnoliopsida; Poales; Poaceae. The record is from RNAcentral.
CCACGCACCGUGGAGGAAAUCUACGAGGAUUUCUCUGCCCGCCGCAGCGCUCUCAUCCGAGCCCUCACCACCGAUCAGAAGGAAUUAUAUGGUCUAUUAUGCAAGCCAGGUAAGAAAGCACUGUGCUUGUACGGCCACGCGGACGGGAGCUGGGAGUUGAGGCGGCCGGAUGACUUGGCGCCACCCCACAUGCCGGAGCCGACGCUGGGCGUCAACUUCCGGCCGGAUUACAUAAGCCCUUUUGCCUGGCUCGAGUUCAUCGCCCAACGCGCUGACUCGUGGCUCAUCGGCGUCGCAUUUUUCUUCGCCGCUUGCCUCAACGCCAAUAAUAGGAUGCGUUUAUUUGAUAUGAUGAAUAAUUUGCCAACUGUCUAUCGAACAUUGUAUCACUUCCACAAGAUUGUUUGGCUACCUACACCACCAUCUCCAGUUUUGAUGCAAAAUGUGUACAAUCCAAAUGAAUAUUCGGGUGCACCUGCUCAAGACAGCGUGCCACAAUCUCCAGACUUAAUGGAAAACGUGUCCAAUCCAAACAUAAACUCUAUAACACCUGUUGAAGAGAACAUGCCACUAGUAUCUCAAGACUCCUGGCAAAACGUGUCCGAUCCAAACAAGAACUCUAGGACACUUGCUGAAGAAGAUGAAGAGGAUCAUGAAGUUAGCAAGCGAUACUUUUGCGGAGAGUGUGGUGCUCCGUACCAUGCCAAUGGGUUUUGGAUCUGCUGUAACGUAUGUGAUCUGUGGUUCCAUGGCAGAUAUGUGAAGAUAACUGCUUCUAAAUCAGCACAUAUCAAGGAUUACAAGUGUCCUGACUGCACC